UACAGAGGGUGCGAGCGUUAAUCGGAGUUACUGGGCGUAAAGGGCGCGUAGGCGGUUUUGAAAGUAAGAUGUGAAAUCCCUGGGCUUAACCUAGGAACAGCAUUUUAAACUUCAAGACUAGAGUACAGUAGAGGGUGGCGGAAUUUCCGGUGUAGCGGUGAAAUGCGUAGAGAUCGGAAGGAACAUCAGUGGCGAAGGCGGCCACCUGGACUGUAACUGACGCUGAGGCGCGAAAGCGUGGGGAGCAAACAGG
RNAcentral lists this ribosomal RNA (253 nucleotides) under uncultured bacterium. RNAcentral's name for it is "partial 16S ribosomal RNA". It matches the Rfam family "Bacterial small subunit ribosomal RNA", at positions 524 to 776 of the family's 1533-position model. The record is from RNAcentral.